UACGUAGGGCGCAAGCGUUAUCCGGAAUUAUUGGGCGUAAAGAGCUCGUAGGCGGCUUGUCACGUCGGGUGUGAAAGCCCGGGGCUUAACCCCGGGUCUGCAUUCGAUACGGGCUAGCUAGAGUGUGGUAGGGGAGAUCGGAAUUCCUGGUGUAGCGGUGAAAUGCGCAGAUAUCAGGAGGAACACCGGUGGCGAAGGCGGAUCUCUGGGCCAUUACUGACGCUGAGGAGCGAAAGCAUGGGGAGCGAACAGG
Molecule: ribosomal RNA, 253 nt
Filed under: uncultured bacterium
Lineage: Bacteria
Description: partial 16S ribosomal RNA
Rfam family: Bacterial small subunit ribosomal RNA
Source: RNAcentral